Molecule: long non-coding RNA, 503 nt
Filed under: Mus musculus (house mouse)
Lineage: Eukaryota; Metazoa; Chordata; Mammalia; Rodentia; Muridae
Description: long non-coding RNA chr13:73273229-73273732
Source: RNAcentral
CAAUGGGGUGAAGGGAGGCAGAGGAGGAAGACCCAGUAGGAAUGAGAGGAAGUCACAUUCCCAGGUAUCUCUCAUCAUUAGUGCAUUGUGAACAAAGUGCUCUUUCUUUUAGCAACAGGAUCCCUAGCUGUGGGGUGCAGAUCAAGAAUCAGACUCUCACUCUGGGGGGUCCCGAUGCACACCUGCCUCUAGCUGUACACUGGAAAGGAUGGGGUUCUCCUCGUCAUCCUGAGCUGUGCUCAGGCAUGAUCCAAACCAGCUCCUCCACUCCUUGCAAGAUUAAAAGUCAAGCAUGAAUCAGAGCACCUGCCCCCUCUGCAGCUUACUGACCUGAAGGAAAUCUCCCUCCUGAAGAGGAAGGUCCCAGAGGUAGGGCUGAGAUGGGAUCCAGCAAAGCACCUGCUCUGUUUUUGUUUUGUUUUGUUUUGAUGCCAGUGCCAUGGCAUUGGUGGAGUGUGUUUGGGGGCGGGGGAGGGGGGUUCCUGUAGCUCCACCCAUUGUCC